This 253-nucleotide ribosomal RNA is filed under the name uncultured bacterium. RNAcentral describes it as "partial 16S ribosomal RNA". It matches the Rfam family "Bacterial small subunit ribosomal RNA", at positions 524 to 776 of the family's 1533-position model. The record is from RNAcentral.
UACGGGGGGGGCAAGCGUUGUUCGGAAUUACUGGGCGUAAAGGGCUCGUAGGCGGCCAACUAAGUCAGACGUGAAAUCCCUCGGCUUAGCCGGGGAACUGCGUCUGAUACUGGAUGGCUUGAGUUUGGGAGAGGGAUGCGGAAUUCCAGGUGUAGCGGUGAAAUGCGUAGAUAUCAGGAGGAACACCGGUGGCGAAGGCGGGUCUCUGGGCCGAUACUGACGCUGAGGAGCGAAAGCGUGGGGAGCGAACAGG